Molecule: transfer RNA, 71 nt
Filed under: Sphaerodactylus townsendi
Lineage: Eukaryota; Metazoa; Chordata; Lepidosauria; Squamata; Sphaerodactylidae
Description: tRNA-Ala
Source: RNAcentral
GGAUCUUAGUUCAGUGGCAGAGCACCUGUUUGGCAUGCGGAAGGUCCACGAUUCAAUUCCUGGCAUCUCCA